GAUGAACGCUGGCGGCGUGCCUAAUACAUGCAAGUCGAACGCGAGCAGCAAUGCUCGAGUGGCGAACGGGUGAGUAAUACAUAAGUAACCUGCCCUAGACAGGGGGAUAACUGCUGGAAACGGCAGCUAAGACCGCAUAAUGCUUUUGAGCGGCAUCGCUUGAAAGCCAAAGAUUUAUCGCUGAAAGAUGGUCUCGCGUCUGAUUAGCUAGUUGGUGAGGUAACGGCUCACCAAGGCGACGAUCAGUAGCCGGUCUGAGAGGAUGAACGGCCACAUUGGGACUGAGAUACGGCCCAG
RNAcentral lists this ribosomal RNA (297 nucleotides) under uncultured bacterium. RNAcentral describes it as "partial 16S ribosomal RNA". It matches the Rfam family "Bacterial small subunit ribosomal RNA", at positions 28 to 334 of the family's 1533-position model. The record is from RNAcentral.